RNAcentral lists this ribosomal RNA (464 nucleotides) under Vreelandella stevensii. Its description in RNAcentral is "partial 16S ribosomal RNA". It matches the Rfam family "Bacterial small subunit ribosomal RNA", at positions 338 to 795 of the family's 1533-position model. Lineage: Bacteria; Pseudomonadati; Pseudomonadota; Gammaproteobacteria; Oceanospirillales; Halomonadaceae. The record is from RNAcentral.
CCUACGGGCGGCUGCAGUGGGGAAUAUUGGACAAUGGGCGAAAGCCUGAUCCAGCCAUGCCGCGUGUGUGAAGAAGGCCUUCGGGUUGUAAAGCACUUUCAGUGGGGAAGAAAGCCUUGGGGCUAAUACCCUCGAGGAAGGACAUCACCCACAGAAGAAGCACCGGCUAACUCCGUGCCAGCAGCCGCGGUAAUACGGAGGGUGCGAGCGUUAAUCGGAAUUACUGGGCGUAAAGCGCGCGUAGGCGGUCUGAUAAGCCGGUUGUGAAAGCCCCGGGCUCAACCUGGGAACGGCAUCCGGAACUGUCAGGCUAGAGUGCAGGAGAGGAAGGUAGAAUUCCCGGUGUAGCGGUGAAAUGCGUAGAGAUCGGGAGGAAUACCAGUGGCGAAGGCGGCCUUCUGGACUGACACUGACGCUGAGGUGCGAAAGCGUGGGUAGCAAACAGGAUAGAUACCCUGGUAGUC